Molecule: ribosomal RNA, 386 nt
Filed under: Papilio phestus parkinsoni
Lineage: Eukaryota; Metazoa; Arthropoda; Insecta; Lepidoptera; Papilionidae
Description: partial 16S ribosomal RNA
Source: RNAcentral
CUGUACAAAGGUAGCAUAAUCAAUAGUCUCUUAAUUGGUGACUUGUAUGAAAGAUUGGAUGAAAUAUAGACUGUCUCUAAUUAAUUUAUAAAAAUUAAUUUUUUAGUAAAAAAGCUAAAAUAAUUUUAAAAGACGAGAAGACCCUAUAGAGUUUAAUAAUUUAUUUAAUUAUUAUUAAUAUAUAAUUUUUAAAAUUAAAAUUAAAUAAAUUAUUUUGUUGGGGUGAUAGAAAAAUUAAAUUAACUUUUUUUAUUUAUUUACAUUAAUUUAUGACUAAAUGAUCCAUUUAUAAUGAUUAAAAGAAAAAAUUACCUUAGGGAUAACAGCGUAAUUUUUUUUUUUAGUUCAAAUAGGAAAAAAAGUUUGCGACCUCGAUGUUGGAUUAA